This 253-nucleotide ribosomal RNA is filed under the name uncultured bacterium. RNAcentral describes it as "partial 16S ribosomal RNA". It matches the Rfam family "Bacterial small subunit ribosomal RNA", at positions 524 to 776 of the family's 1533-position model. The record is from RNAcentral.
UACGUAGGGUGCAAGCGUUAAUCGGAAUUACUGGGCGUAAAGCGUGCGCAGGCGGUUUUGUAAGUCUGUCGUGAAAUCCCCGGGCUCAACCUGGGAAUUGCGAUGGAGACUGCAAGGCUAGAAUCUGGCAGAGGGGGGUAGAAUUCCACGUGUAGCAGUGAAAUGCGUAGAGAUGUGGAGGAACACCGAUGGCGAAGGCAGCCCCCUGGGACGUUACUGACGCUGAGACGCGAAAGCGUGGGGAGCAAACAGG